RNAcentral lists this ribosomal RNA (442 nucleotides) under uncultured bacterium. RNAcentral describes it as "bacterial SSU rRNA". It matches the Rfam family "Bacterial small subunit ribosomal RNA", at positions 339 to 797 of the family's 1533-position model. The record is from RNAcentral.
UUACGGGAGGCAGCAGUAGGGAAUUUUGCACAAUGGACGCAAGUCUGAUGCAGCAACACUGCGUGAAGGAUGAAGGUUUUCGGAUCGUAAACUUCUUUUAUCAGGGAAUAAUCUUGAAGGUACCUGAUGAAUAAGCACCGGCUAACUACGUGCCAGCAGCCGCGGUAAUACGUAGGGUGCAAACAUUAUCCGGAUUUAUUGGGCGUAAAGAGCUCGUAGGUGGUUUGAAAAGUCGAGUAUGAAAGACCCGGGCCCAACUCGGGGAACGUACUCGAAACUUUCUGACUAGAGGUAUGCAGGGGAAGAUGGAACACACGGUGUAGCAGUGAAAUGCGUAGAUAUCGUGUGGAACGCCAAUGGUGAAGACAGUCUUCUGGGCAUUACCUGACACUGAGGAGCGAAAGCGUGGGGAGCGAACGGGAUUAGAUACCCCUGUAGUCCA